UUUUAGCAGGGAAGAAGCGAAAGUGACGGUACCUGCAGAAAAAGCACCGGCUAACUACGUGCCAGCAGCCGCGGUAAUACGUAGGGUGCAAGCGUUAUCCGGAAUUAUUGGGCGUAAAGAGCUCGUAGGCGGUUUGUCGCGUCUGCUGUGAAAACUGGAGGCUCAACCUCCAGCCUGCAGUGGGUACGGGCAGACUAGAGUGCGGUAGGGGAGAUUGGAAUUCCUGGUGUAGCGGUGGAAUGCGCAGAUAUCAGGAGGAACACCGAUGGCGAAGGCAGAUCUCUGGGCCGUAACUGACGCUGAGGAGCGAAAGGGUGGGGAGCAAACAGGCUUAGAUACCCUGGUAGUCCACCCCGUAAACGUUGGGAACUAGUUGUGGGGUCCAUUCCACGGAUUCCGUGACGCAGCUAACGCAUUAAGUUCCCCGCCUGGGGAGUACGGCCGCAAGGCUAAAACUCAAAGGAAUUGACGGGGACCCGCACAAGCGGCGGAGCAUGCGGAUUAAUUCGAUGCAACGCGAAGAACCUUACCAAGGCUUGACAUAUACGAGAACGGGCCAGAAAUGGUCAACUCUUUGGACACUCGUAAACAGGUGGUGCAUGGUUGUCGUCAGCUCGUGUCGUGAGAUGUUGGGUUAAGUCCCGCAACGAGCGCAACCCUCGUUCUAUGUUGCCAGCACGUAAUGGUGGGAACUCAUGGGAUACUGCCGGGGUCAACUCGGAGGAAGGUGGGGAUGACGUCAAAUCAUCAUGCCCCUUAUGUCUUGGGCUUCACGCAUGCUACAAUGGCCGGUACAAAGGGCUGCAAUACCGUAAGGUGGAGCGAAUCCCAAAAAGCCGGUCCCAGUUCGGAUUGAGGUCUGCAACUCGACCUCAUGAAGUCGGAGUCGCUAGUAAUCGCAGAUCAGCAACGCUGCGGUGAAUACGUUCCCGGGUCUUGUACACACCGCCCGUCAAGUCAUGAAAGUCGGUAACACCUG
RNAcentral lists this ribosomal RNA (979 nucleotides) under Microbacterium aurum. RNAcentral's name for it is "bacterial SSU rRNA". It matches the Rfam family "Bacterial small subunit ribosomal RNA", at positions 434 to 1423 of the family's 1533-position model. Lineage: Bacteria; Bacillati; Actinomycetota; Actinomycetes; Micrococcales; Microbacteriaceae. The record is from RNAcentral.